Molecule: long non-coding RNA, 479 nt
Organism: Calidris pygmaea (Spoon-billed sandpiper)
Lineage: Eukaryota; Metazoa; Chordata; Aves; Charadriiformes; Scolopacidae
Source: Ensembl
CUACUGGUGCUCGUUGAAAGCCCUGGCAUCCCCUACCACAAGCCUGUACAAUAAUUUCAAAAGUGGUAUAAUAUUUCCUUGCAGGUUUACUUAAAGAUUGAUACAAAUAAGAGAGUGAAGCACUUUUUCACUUGAACAGUGAGAGGCAAGAGUGUCAUUACCUGGAGACCCAGGGUCCCUGGCCAGAUCAUUGGGCCUGGAGAGUUACCUACCAGACGUUUCUUGGAUUCUGCAGAAUAAAUGGACAUCCAGUGCAAGCAACUUGAUAACGUAAUAAUCAAACAAGAGAUUGACAGAAGAUGUAGAAGGCUUAACAUACCCCUCUGAUUCUUCUACCAUGGAGUGAUAGAUGCUUCAAGAAGAAAAGAAUUCCCCUAGUGGUUUCAUUGUUUUCCAGGCAUCUUUCUAGAUUAACUUUUCCAAUGGUAAAAUCAUUACAAAGUAGAAAUGCAAUCUCUCUAAGGGCUAACUUGAAAACC